This 85-nucleotide transfer RNA is filed under the name Flavobacteriales bacterium. RNAcentral's name for it is "tRNA-Ser". It matches the Rfam family "tRNA". From Rfam's summary of the family: Transfer RNA (tRNA) molecules are approximately 80 nucleotides in length. Their secondary structure includes four short double-helical elements and three loops (D, anti-codon, and T loops). Further hydrogen bonds mediate the characteristic L-shaped molecular structure. tRNAs have two regions of fundamental functional importance: the anti-codon, which is responsible for specific mRNA codon recognition, and the 3' end, to which the tRNAs corresponding amino acid is attached (by aminoacyl-tRNA synthetases). tRNAs cope with the degeneracy of the genetic code in two manners: having more than one tRNA (with a specific anti-codon) for a particular amino acid; and 'wobble' base-pairing, i.e. permitting non-standard base-pairing at the 3rd anti-codon position. The record is from RNAcentral. RNAcentral also lists the same sequence under 1 other name. Lineage: Bacteria; Pseudomonadati; Bacteroidota; Flavobacteriia; Flavobacteriales.
GGAGAGUUGGCAGAGUGGUCGAAUGCGGCAGUCUUGAAAACUGUUUUACUUAACGGUAACGGGGGUUCGAAUCCCUCACUCUCCG